UGAGCAAUCUGCCCUUCUCAUCGGAAUAAGCGUUGGAAACGACGUCUAAUGCCGAAUACGACCUCCUUUCGCAUGAUCGGAGGUGGAAAGCUCCGGCGGAGAGGGAUGAGCUCGCGGCCUAUCAGCUAGUUGGUGUGGGUAAUGGCUCACCAAGGCGACGACGGGUAGCUGGUCCGAGAGGAUGACCAGCCACAUUGGGACUGAGACACGGCCCAGAUCCUACGGGG
Molecule: ribosomal RNA, 227 nt
Filed under: uncultured bacterium
Lineage: Bacteria
Description: partial 16S ribosomal RNA
Rfam family: Bacterial small subunit ribosomal RNA
Source: RNAcentral